This 406-nucleotide ribosomal RNA is filed under the name uncultured bacterium. RNAcentral describes it as "partial 16S ribosomal RNA". It matches the Rfam family "Bacterial small subunit ribosomal RNA", at positions 30 to 526 of the family's 1533-position model. The record is from RNAcentral.
AUUGUACGCUGGCGGCAGGCCUAACACAUGCAAGUCGAGCGAGCGGCGGACGGGUGAGUAAUGUCUGGGAAACUGCCUGAUGGAGGGGGAUAACUACUGGAAACGGUAGCUAAUACCGCAUACCAUCAGAUGUGCCCAGAUGGGAUUAGCUAGUAGGUGGGGUAACGGCUCACCUUGGCGACGAUCCCUAGCUGGUCUGAGAGGAUGACCAGCCACAAUGGAAUCGAGACACGGUCCAGACUCGUACGGGAGGAAGCAGUGGGGAAUAAUGCACAAUGGGCGCAAGCCUGAUGCAGCCAUGCCGCGUGUGUGAAGAAGGCCUUCGGGUUGUAAAGCACUUUCAGCGGGGAGGCGUUACCCGCAGAAGAAGCACCGGCUAACUCCGUGCCAGCAGCCGCGGUAAUAC